CUUUCUACAAUGUAUGCAUUUUACUUAGAGAUUUAUCAUUUAUUGCAUGUCUAUUUCUUGGUUCUGCUUUCAAUAUUCUCUGAAGAGUUGAACCAAACGAAAGUAGAUUAGUCCCCAAACGGGUUAAGUUCUUAAUCAGUUCAUCUCACCGUCGCCGGUGAUAUAUUUUUCUCCCUCCACUUCACCAUCUCAUCAGUCCAUCCCUUCAUCUCUCUCUCCGUCACCGACUGCCGGCGACUUUUCCCUCCACCUUCCCUACUUAAACACCCUCCUCUUCUCUCUCUCCGUCACCGACUGCCGGCGACUUUUCCCUCAACUUGCCCUACUUAAACACCCUCCUCUCUCUCGCUCUUCUCAGAUCUGAAGUUCUGGUCUCCGAAAUGGACGACGUCGGCGAGAUCCAGUCACCUGUUUCAUCCUCUCCGUCCGACGGAAGAAUCUCCGUUGCCGUCGACGACGCCGCCG
This 465-nucleotide long non-coding RNA is filed under the name Linum usitatissimum (flax). RNAcentral's name for it is "long non-coding RNA (LUSI_LNC004976)". The record is from RNAcentral. Lineage: Eukaryota; Viridiplantae; Streptophyta; Magnoliopsida; Malpighiales; Linaceae.